GGGGUUUUGGCCUUCUCUUUUGA
Molecule: transfer RNA, 23 nt
Filed under: Podarcis muralis (Common wall lizard)
Lineage: Eukaryota; Metazoa; Chordata; Lepidosauria; Squamata; Lacertidae
Description: partial tRNA-Pro
Source: RNAcentral